Molecule: ribosomal RNA, 253 nt
Filed under: uncultured bacterium
Lineage: Bacteria
Description: partial 16S ribosomal RNA
Rfam family: Bacterial small subunit ribosomal RNA
Source: RNAcentral
UACGAAGGGGGCUAGCGUUGCUCGGAAUUACUGGGCGUAAAGCGCACGUAGGCGGGUUGUUAAGUUGGGGGUGAAAUCCUGGAGCUCGACUCCAGAACUGCCUCCAGAACUGGCGAUCUUGAGUUCGGGAGAGGUGAGUAGAACUGCGAGUGUAGAGGUGAAAUGCGUAGAGAUGCGGAAGAAUACCAGUGGCGAAGGCGGCUCACUGGCCCGAUACUGACGCUGAGGUGCGAAAGCGUGGGGAGCAAACAGG